RNAcentral lists this ribosomal RNA (526 nucleotides) under uncultured Staphylococcus sp. RNAcentral's name for it is "bacterial SSU rRNA". It matches the Rfam family "Bacterial small subunit ribosomal RNA", at positions 29 to 537 of the family's 1533-position model. Lineage: Bacteria; Bacillati; Bacillota; Bacilli; Caryophanales; Staphylococcaceae. The record is from RNAcentral.
AUGAACGCUGGCGGCGUGCCUAAUACAUGCAAGUCGAGCGAACAGACGAGGAGCUUGCUCCUCUGACGUUAGCGGCGGACGGGUGAGUAACACGUGGAUAACCUACCUAUAAGACUGGGAUAACUUCGGGAAACCGGAGCUAAUACCGGAUAAUAUAUUGAACCGCAUGGUUCAAUAGUGAAAGACGGUUUUGCUGUCACUUAUAGAUGGAUCCGCGCCGCAUUAGCUAGUUGGUAAGGUAACGGCUUACCAAGGCAACGAUGCGUAGCCGACCUGAGAGGGUGAUCGGCCACACUGGAACUGAGACACGGUCCAGACUCCUACGGGAGGCAGCAGUAGGGAAUCUUCCGCAAUGGGCGAAAGCCUGACGGAGCAACGCCGCGUGAGUGAUGAAGGUCUUCGGAUCGUAAAACUCUGUUAUUAGGGAAGAACAAAUGUGUAAGUAACUAUGCACGUCUUGACGGUACCUAAUCAGAAAGCCACGGCUAACUACGUGCCAGCAGCCGCGGUAAUACGUAGGUGGCAA